GAGGUAGAACUGCUGAACCACUUUCCAGUCAGUUCCUCUCAGAGCAAAAUCAGGAGACAAACAUGACACUUUGGCUUCAAUUUGUUUUUGUUUCAGCAAUUUGGGGAGGUAAUUUUAUUCCCGCUUUAAACAAAGAUAACUAGUAUAAUCCAGGACUUCAUAUUUAGCAGAUCCUUUAAAUAUGGCUUUCCUCAUUUUCUAGGUGUCCAAUCAGCAGUCCAGCUGGUAGAGUCUGGAGGGGAUGUCAAAAGACCUGGAGAGUCCCUCCGUCUCUCCUGUCGAGCUUCUGGCUUCGACUUCAGCAGCUACUGGAUGGCCUGGGUGCGACAGGCUCCUGGAAAAGGACUGGAAUGGGUGGCAUGGAUACGCUAUGAUAGUAGAGAAAUAUACUAUGACAACUCUGUGAAAGGGCGCUUCACCGUCUCCAGAGACAACCCUUCAAACAUGCUGUAUCUACAAAUGAACACCUUGAAAUCAGAGGACACUGCUGUUUAUUACUGUGCAAGAGACACAG
Molecule: non-coding RNA, 514 nt
Organism: Podarcis lilfordi (Lilford's wall lizard)
Lineage: Eukaryota; Metazoa; Chordata; Lepidosauria; Squamata; Lacertidae
Source: the annotation of a GenBank genome assembly